GAUGAAGAACGUAGCGAAAUGCGAUAAGUAAUGUGAAUUGCAGAAUUCAGUGAAUCAUCGAAUCUUUGAACGCACAUUGCGCCCGCCAGUAUUCUGGCGGGCAUGCCUGUUCGAGCGUCGUUUCGACCAUCAAGCCCCCGGCUUGUGUUGGGGACCUGCGGCUGCCGCAGGCCCUGAAAACCAGUGGCGGGCUCGCUAGUCACUCCGAGCGUAGUAAUACAUCUCGCUCAGGGCGUGCUGCGGGUUCCGGCCGUUAAAAAGCCUUAUUUACCCAAGGUUGACCUCGGAUCAGGUAGGAAGACCCGCUGAACUUAAGCAUAUCAAUAAGCGGAGGA
RNAcentral lists this unclassified non-coding RNA (335 nucleotides) under soil metagenome. RNAcentral's name for it is "partial contains 5.8S ribosomal RNA, internal transcribed spacer 2, and large subunit ribosomal RNA". The stretch from base 1 to 120 matches the Rfam family "5.8S ribosomal RNA", at positions 35 to 154 of the family's 154-position model. The record is from RNAcentral.